RNAcentral lists this non-coding RNA (23 nucleotides) under Rattus norvegicus (Norway rat). The record is from RNAcentral. Lineage: Eukaryota; Metazoa; Chordata; Mammalia; Rodentia; Muridae.
UGAAUGCUGAUGGAUGCUCACUA